Molecule: unclassified non-coding RNA, 353 nt
Filed under: soil metagenome
Description: partial contains 5.8S ribosomal RNA, internal transcribed spacer 2, and large subunit ribosomal RNA
Rfam family: 5.8S ribosomal RNA (bases 1-121)
Source: RNAcentral
GAUGAAGAACGCAGCGAAAUGCGAUAAGUAAUGCGAAUUGCAGAAUUCCAGUGAGUCAUCGAAUCUUUGAACGCACAUUGCGCCCAUUGGUAUUCCGAUGGGCAUGCCUGUUCGAGCGUCAUUACAACCCUCAGGCCCCCGGGCCUGGCGUUGGGGAUCGGCGGAGCCCCCCGUGGGCACACGCCGUCCCCCAAAUGCAGUGGCGGUCCCGCCGCAGCUUCCAUCGCGUAGUAGCUAACACCUCGCGACUGGAGAGCGGCGCGGCCACGCCGUAAAACACCCAACUCUUCUGAAGUUGACCUCGAAUCAGGUAGGAAUACCCGCUGAACUUAAGCAUAUCAAUAAGCGGAGGA